UCACCACACCUCCUUAACAUCUACAUAUUUUCUUGUUUAUUGAAUGCCAUUUUAAUAUUUAUUUAUUAUUUAUAAUUUAUGAAUGAACCGACACUGCAGUAUUUGAAUUAUCACAUUUUUAAUAUUUGGGAUGUGAUCCAGACGGCGGUGCUGCUCGGUGAAAAAGCUAAGGGGAUAAUCUUUUGACAGUAAUAAUUGGAGAUAGCUAGCAGUCCACAUUUUCAGUUUCUGCAAUAACUCUUCAACAACUGCUAUAUUUAAUUCCCAGCAUGUUCACUCUAUGCCCAAGUGUCUCCCACUUGACAGUUUUGGGCAUUCUUGUGUUCAACACCUAUUGGUGUUUUUGCCGCCCCUCUUGUUUUCCUGUUGGCCUGACGAUGGGCUACAUAGGUUCCAUCAAAUGAGUUGUUCUACAAGAAGGCAGGACACAGUUGGGCUACAUAGGUUCCAUCAAGGCACAUUCUAAAGGUGAUAUUGUGAAGAUUGUGGUUGGAGCAUCCCGGGAUGGUAAGGGGUUCUGCAGAUUUCCAAUGCCUUGGGGGGAUUUACACUUUGAAAUCACCCUCAAUGUGAUUGAUCCCUGCAGUAAAAUUGAAGGAAUUGAUUUGAGUGUGAGAAGCAAAAGCAGUGGCGCUUCGAUUCUUCGAAUGGAAUCCCCCAGAAUCUUUUAUAAUCCUGCGUAUUUUGAGGUUCCAACAAUGAUGGGAGAAGUAUUAGAGGUGUACGCAGAAUUGUAUCCUUGGAAGAUGAUAUUUUUUGCAUUUGAAAUACAUAGAAACAGAGAAGGGGAAGUGCGUUUCUUUCCAUCCACAAAGGGAUGGAUUCCUUCCUAUAAUACGGAAGAUGGAGAGAGGAAGAGGAAAAGGAAGAUGCAGAUAGGUAGAGGCAGGCAAAGGCGUUUUCUUCCAAUCACAAGGGGAUUCAUUCCUUCUGUUAUGAGCCUGGGAGAUGCUAAUGGACAAAGGAAGAGGAAGAAAAGGAAGCUGCAGAUCCAUAGGUAGAGGCGGUACGGUUAUAAUCUUCAGCUUUUAAUUCACUGCAAAAAGGAAGGGGAAGUGCGUUUCAGGCAUGUUCUGAAGGUGACAGUGUUAAGAUUUCGCUUGAAGUGAUACAUUUGUCAGUUGCAUUGUGCCAACGUAACGUUUUUGAGGCAUGCAAUGGAGUUGGUAUCGCUAUCAGAAGCAAAACCAGUGGUGCCUCAGCUUGGGUUGGAGAUGAUGAAUGCAAUGUGGAGAAGAAGAAUGGAAGAUCCUAUCAGAGUUGAUUUUGAGGUGGGAGUGUGGGACUUAAGUGUUGGAGGUGUAUGCACAAUUCCAUCCUUUGCAUACACUUUCUGUAUUUGAAAUGCACAAGAACAGAGAUGGACAACUGCGCUUCUUUCCAUCCGCAAGAAGGCCUUCCCUGCAAUUUCAUCAACCUCAACUACAACUGGUAGAGUAGCAUCAUAUUUGGGCUUAGCAACAACCAUCAACUCUGGGUGACCCGGAAAACUUGCAGAUUCUAUCUGAUGGUGUGUUAAAUUCUGUACCACGAAUUCAGAAGGAUGUUUAAUUUGCAAUAAUCAAACUUAUGAUUUUCUUUUACAAGAAUCAUGCUGCUUCAUCCCAUUCAACUAUAUAUUUUUGGGACUUUUCUUUUUCUUUUUAAUGAGUUAUUUCCACUUUUGGUCCA
This is a long non-coding RNA of Ipomoea triloba (trilobed morning glory), 1671 nucleotides long. RefSeq lists it as uncharacterized. NCBI's taxonomy places the organism in Eukaryota, Viridiplantae, Streptophyta, Magnoliopsida, Solanales, Convolvulaceae. The transcript is spliced from 5 exons. The record is from RefSeq and is a predicted model, not a curated record.